Molecule: long non-coding RNA, 877 nt
Organism: Podarcis raffonei (Aeolian wall lizard)
Lineage: Eukaryota; Metazoa; Chordata; Lepidosauria; Squamata; Lacertidae
Exons: 4
Source: RefSeq, a predicted model, not a curated record
GUGUAAUGGAGAAUGUCAGGAAGUAUGGCACCCAGGGAGGCUGCAGAAGGUGACCAGAGAGAUGCCUUGAAGACCAGAAGAAAGGACACCUACAAAACCCCUUGGCCACUUCAAAAUAAGGUCCUCUGUAUCGGAGCUACAGUACUAAUGUGUCAAUAUCCCUGGGGAAGGCUAGCAAGUGAAGGAUUAGCCCUCGGCUCUCACCAACUUUCAGAUCCGUAGCGCCUGGAAGCAAUGCUCAUGUAGGAAUUUGCUAGCAGCUUUGGUGCCGCUACUUAGAAACAGAAGGAGCUGCCUUGUGCCAGUUCAGGUCAUCUGGCUCACCAUCGUCACCACUGAUCAGCAACAGAUCGCCAGGGUUUCAGGCAAGAGUCUUUUCCAGCCCAAGCUGGAGUUGCUGGGGUUUGAGGCUAGGACCUUUUGCAUGCAAAGCAGUUGAACGACAGCAUUUCCCCAAACAGCCUCAAGUGGAGAAAAUCCUCCACCUGGUGGAAUGGCUAUGCCUGAGGACAGUUCACAGCGAGAGGAGUCUGACUUCUCAGCAAUGCAGAUAAUGGCCCUGCUUCUCAACUUUCAACGUUGGGUUCUAGACUGCCAUAGUAGACCUUUGAAAAGAAUUCCACAUCUAGACACUGAUACGGAGGAAGAGGAGCCCACUAACUGUUAUUCCCUGCAUACAUCCUCCAUAUACUUUAGUGCUACACAUGGCUGGGUUUGCUAGAGACGAUUUAGUCUCAAAAAUGCAGCUCUGCUGUUUAUUUGCUUUGAACCAGAGGUGGUUGUUUUUUUCUUGUAAAGCUGUAUCCUUAAAAUGAACUCUCUGUGACUUGGGUGGAAGAUAUCAACAUUUGGAUACCAUGAAAAUGAAUUCUACUCA